Non-coding RNA from Colius striatus (speckled mousebird), 71 nucleotides. NCBI's taxonomy places the organism in Eukaryota, Metazoa, Chordata, Aves, Coliiformes, Coliidae. The record is from Rfam.
ACUUUUAAAGGAUAGUAGCAAUCCACUGGUCUUGGGAACCGCCCACCUUGGUGCAAAUCCAAGUAAAACUA